GAGGACAGUGACCCUCUCUCUGUUGAGGUAUCAUGGGCUGUCAUGCAUUCUGACAGCAGCACAGCCUCACAGCCACAGGGGAGAGGAGAGAGAGGUGCCUCAUGCAGCUGAGCACAUCUGCUCUCUGUCCUGUCUGCCAGAGCAGGGUGUGAGGGAACACUGUGAGCCUGGGGGAGCCUGCCAAGAAACACACUAAAGCUGAGCCAGCUGGCCAAGGCUACCUGUUGAUGAUGAUCUCUGGUUGGUGAUGGAGUCCAUGGAUGGAGGAACUUCACAGGAUGUUGUUAGACAGACAUGUCUGGCUGAAGGAGGGAUGGCAGCUGUCAGCUGUGAGGUGAGGGCUCCUGUUUGUGCUGCCCAUGGCUUGGACAUGAUGGUCCUUCAAAAGAGAUGGUGAGAACAGGAAUGGCUUCAUGCUCAGAGCCUUGUUUCUGUGUUGUUUUUAUGCCGUGCAGAAGAGACAGCCUCUUAAAUGAACUGCCUGUAAGUAUCCUUGCACUUCUGCUCUUUCUCUUCGAGUACUCUUUCAUAUUGUUGUUG
Long non-coding RNA from Melozone crissalis (California towhee), 540 nucleotides. RefSeq lists it as uncharacterized. The record is from RefSeq and is a predicted model, not a curated record. The transcript is spliced from 3 exons. Lineage: Eukaryota; Metazoa; Chordata; Aves; Passeriformes; Passerellidae.